UGGGGAAUUUUGGACAAUGGACGCAAGUCUGAUCCAGCCAUGCCGCGUGCGGGAAGAAGGCCUUCGGGUUGUAAACCGCUUUUGUCAGGGAAGAAACGAGUUUCUCUAAUACAGAGACUUAAUGACGGUACCUGAAGAAUAAGCACCGGCUAACUACGUGCCAGCAGCCGCGGUAAUACGUAGGGUGCAAGCGUUAAUCGGAAUUACUGGGCGUAAAGCGUGCGCAGGCGGUUAUGUAAGACAGAUGUGAAAUCCCCGGGCUCAACCUGGGAACUGCAUUUGUGACUGCAUGGCUAGAGUACGGUAGAGGGGGAUGGAAUUCCGCGUGUAGCAGUGAAAUGCGUAGAUAUGCGGAGGUACACCGAUGGCGAAGGCAAUCCCCUGGGCCUGUACUGACGCUCAUGCACGAAAGCGUGGGGAGCAAACA
This 427-nucleotide ribosomal RNA is filed under the name uncultured bacterium. RNAcentral describes it as "bacterial SSU rRNA". It matches the Rfam family "Bacterial small subunit ribosomal RNA", at positions 355 to 774 of the family's 1533-position model. The record is from RNAcentral.